AAAGUCGUAACAAGGUUUCCGUAGGUGAACCUGCGGAAGGAUCAUUAGCAAGAUUGCGUGGUUUGGGUCGCCCCUUUGGGGGUGAUGGUUACUGCGCAAGUAUGCCAUCCUUGUGCUAUGUCUACAACACCGUUGGAUUGUGCUCGUGCUGUAUUGCUCGGGCACUCUCUCACACCUUUUAAAACACCCCUUUUUAAUUUUUAUUUUCUUAACCUCUUUUUAUGCUUGGCAACAAGCAUAUGAAAACAACAAUCGAAAACUGCCAGCAAUGGAUCACUCGGUUCUC
Molecule: unclassified non-coding RNA, 286 nt
Filed under: Basidiomycota sp.
Lineage: Eukaryota; Fungi; Basidiomycota
Description: partial contains small subunit ribosomal RNA and internal transcribed spacer 1
Rfam family: Eukaryotic small subunit ribosomal RNA (bases 1-47)
Source: RNAcentral